RNAcentral lists this ribosomal RNA (254 nucleotides) under uncultured bacterium. Its description in RNAcentral is "partial 16S ribosomal RNA". It matches the Rfam family "Bacterial small subunit ribosomal RNA", at positions 524 to 776 of the family's 1533-position model. The record is from RNAcentral.
GACAGAGGGUGCAAACGUUUGUUCGGAAUUACUGGGCGUAAAGCGAGUGUAGGCGGUCUUGAAAGUCGGAUGUGAAAGCCCUGGGCUCAACCCAGGAAGUGCAUUCGAUACUCCAAGGCUAGAGUACUGGAGAGGUGGGUGGAAUUCUCGGUGUAGAGGUGAAAUUCGUAGAUAUCGAGAGGAACACCUGCGGCGAAGGCGGGUUGCUGGGCUGAUACUGACGCUGAGGCGCGAAAGCCAGGGGAGCGAACGGG